Balaenoptera ricei (Rice's whale) is the source of this 160-nucleotide long non-coding RNA. RefSeq lists it as uncharacterized. NCBI's taxonomy places the organism in Eukaryota, Metazoa, Chordata, Mammalia, Artiodactyla, Balaenopteridae. The transcript has 2 exons. The record is from RefSeq and is a predicted model, not a curated record.
CUCGGACGAGUUGCCACCCGUCCUACCCGAGAGCUCGGCAUCCUCAGAGCAGCGGGACAGGGCGGGGCCGUGCGGAAAGCGUCUCCAGCAAGCUUUUGUGUGCAGGAAGGAGCUCAAAACUUAGUUUUAAAACUAUCCUUCCAAAUGCCUGGAAACCAGG